CUACCAAGGCAAUGAUCUAUAGCUGAUCUGAGAGGAUGAUCAGCCACACUGGAACUGAGAUACGGUCCAGACUCCUACGGGAGGCAGCAGUGGGGAAUAUUGGACAAUGGGCGAAAGCCUGAUCCAGCCAUGCCGCAUGAGUGAAGAAGGCCUUCGGGUUGUAAAGCUCUUUUAGUGAGGAAGAUAAUGACGGUACUUACAGAAGAAGUCCUGGCUAACUCCGUGCCAGCAGCCGCGGUAAUACGGAAAGGGCUAGCGUUAUUCGGAAUCAUUGGGCGUAAAGGGCGCGUAUGCGGAUUAGUAAGUUAAAAGUGAAAUCCCAAGGCUCAACCUUGGAAUUGCUUUUAAAACUGCUAAUCUAGAGAUUGAAAGAGGAUAGAGGAAUUCCUAGUGUAGAGGUGAAAUUUGUAAAUAUUAGGAGGAACACCAGUGGCGAAGGCGUCUAUCUGGUUCAAAUC
Molecule: ribosomal RNA, 458 nt
Filed under: Wolbachia sp.
Lineage: Bacteria; Pseudomonadati; Pseudomonadota; Alphaproteobacteria; Rickettsiales; Anaplasmataceae
Description: bacterial SSU rRNA
Rfam family: Bacterial small subunit ribosomal RNA
Source: RNAcentral